ACCAAUCAAAGCGCCCAAAUUCCACCAAUCGGUGCGCGGAUCCAGAACCCACCAAUCCUGGACCAGGGACCGUUAUAAAAAGGGGGGUUUUCUGUUAAUUGAGUUCUUUCGCGUUUGUUCGUAUUGGUAUUUUUGAAAGAACCCAGCGUGUGAGAAGCACGUUGCUUUUGGAAUUUUGAGCUGUUGUGGAAGACCUGGGCUUAUCGUGGGUCUUCUGUUCUUGUUGACUUAUUUUUAAUAAACGAGAGCCUGUUUCAACCUCUCUUCUGAAAUUUGGCCUCGUUCAAUUUAUAACAACUUUGGGGACUCGUCCGGGAUAGGCCACGACCCCGAGAUGGUCCGGGGUAGCCCAGAGCCGAAGACGCGUCCAGUCACAUUUUUUUUUGACUGUCAUAUUUUGGGACUACGUCGGACCGAGGAGGGGAACGCGCCUACUCCCGAGGUCAAAGAGAACAGCAACAGCUCAAAGGAAGUCAAUCAGCCCUCUGGUUUGGCUGUUCUCUACUCUUCCUUAUAAAGUAGAACUUCGAGAACUGCUCAGAAAAUAUGUAUAAGUCAAUCAGCCCUCUGGUUUGGCUGUUCUCUACUCUUCCUUAUAAAGUAGAACUUCGAGAACUGCUCAGAAAAUAUGUAUAAGUCAAUCAGCCCUCUGGUUUGGCUGUUCUCUACUCUUCCUUAUAAAGUAGAACUUCGAGAACUGCUCAGAAAAUAUGUAUAAGUCAAUCAGCCCUCUGGUUUGGCUGUUCUCUACUCUUCCUUAUAAAGUAGAACUUCGAGAACUGCUCAGAAAAUAUGUAUAAGUCAAUCAGCCCUCUGGUUUGGCUGUUCUCUACUCUUCCUUAUAAAGUAGAACUUCGAGAACUGCUCAGAAAAUAUGUAUGUAAGUACCUCUCAAUUAAUUAGAAAAUAUUAUUACUCAGAAGAUAGACAGAAACAAGACUAUCUACACUGAAUGAAUUAAACAUAUAUGAAUUAGGACACAGACCCUUCCAUUCUUUGGUAAGGGAUGCUGUCCUGCAAAUUACAUUAAUGAAUGAGACUGAUAGAUGAAAACCUUCUGCAUCUGCUCUAGCAGUUGGAAUGAGGAUGUUAAAGAAGGCAGACAAGGAGGAUGUGCUACUUAGGGAUACUGAACAUCACUUCUGUGCUUGAGGAGUUCUGUAGUUUGGAUGAAGGUCACAGGUUAUCUCCAGCUGCAUAAAAAUGAGUGAUAAAUAUCUACUGUUUCUCUUAGACUGAAAGCAGUGUUAAACAAAGAGUAUUAAAAUAAGGAAUAUUACUCAAAAAUCAUCCCAAGUUACCUCCUCCAUAUAUUAAAGCUGUAACAUAAUAAUAAAAGCAGCUCAAACUUGUAGAAGUGUCAAAGAUACAUAGAUUAAAUAAGAUCUAUGCAGUGAGAGCACCCUAAAAACAUCACAAGAGCAGUGACAAUUUCUGAGAUAGUAAUGACAUGAACCAAUAUUUAAGAGUUAAGUCUAAAUGAAGAAGAUAAUUUUUCAACUAUUGGAAAAUGGGGGAAUAAAGGAUGAGAUAUGUGAUUAAAGUUCAUAGGGUAUUAACAAAGGUGGAGAAUGUCUUACUUUGAUUCUGUAUUACAACAUAUUUCAAUUGCAUUGUGUGUAGUUUUAGUUUUACACUUGCAUGAUUUUUUAGAACACAUUUUUAGGCUGGGGCACACAAUAAAGGAAAUCCAUCGUGUGACAUUGCAUUGAUCCCCACAUCACUCACUGGAGUAUCUUAGCAUUUCCAGCACAGGUUCUCACUUCUUAAGGUGAAAACCCAGAGAAGAUGCAAACCUGUAACUGCCAUUAAGAGAAGGUCUAAGAUUUUAAUUGCUGUCUGAACACAAAGGAGCUGC
This is a long non-coding RNA of Passer domesticus (house sparrow), 1858 nucleotides long. RefSeq lists it as uncharacterized. The transcript has 6 exons. The record is from RefSeq and is a predicted model, not a curated record. Lineage: Eukaryota; Metazoa; Chordata; Aves; Passeriformes; Passeridae.